GACCCCGCACAAGCGGCGGAGCAUGCGGCUUAAUUCGAUGAUACCCGUAGAACCUUACCUGGACUUGACAUAUAGGGUCAAGCUAUAGAGAUAUAGUGUGCAUUAGCGCCCUAUACAGGUGGUGCAUGGCUGUCGUCAGCUCGUGUCGUGAGAUGUUGGUUAAGUCCCGCAACGAGCGCAACCCCUGUCCUAUGUUGCCAGCAUUUAGUUGGGGACUCAUAGGAAACUGCCGGUGAUAAGCCGGAGGAAGGUGGGGAUGACGUCAAGUCCUCAUGGCCCUUACAGGCUGGGCUACACACGUGCUACAAUGGCGAUGACAGUGGGCAGCGACCCCGCAAGGGUGAGCU
Molecule: ribosomal RNA, 347 nt
Filed under: uncultured bacterium
Lineage: Bacteria
Description: bacterial SSU rRNA
Rfam family: Bacterial small subunit ribosomal RNA
Source: RNAcentral